CCCACGGGAGGCAGCAGUGGGGAAUAUUGGGCAAUGGGCGCAAGCCUGACCCAGCAACGCCGCGUGAAGGAAGAAGGCUUUCGGGUUGUAAACUUCUUUUCUCAGGGACGAAGCAAGUGACGGUACCUGAGGAAUAAGCCACGGCUAACUACGUGCCAGCAGCCGCGGGAAUACGUAGGUGGCAAGCGUUAACCGGAUUUACUGGGUGUAAAGGGCGUGUAGGCGGGACUGCAAGUCAGAUGGGAAAACCAUGGGCUCAACCUAUGGCCUGCAUUUGAAACUGUAGUUCUUGAGUACUGGAGAGGCAGACGGAAUUCCUAGUGUAGCGGUGAAAUGCGUAGAUAUUAGGAGGAACACCAGUGGCGAAGGCGGUCUGCUGGACAGCAACUGACGCUGAGGCGCGAAAGCGUGGGGAGCAAACAGGAUUAGAUACCCCAGUAGUC
This 443-nucleotide ribosomal RNA is filed under the name uncultured bacterium. RNAcentral's name for it is "partial 16S ribosomal RNA". It matches the Rfam family "Bacterial small subunit ribosomal RNA", at positions 338 to 795 of the family's 1533-position model. The record is from RNAcentral.